GGGGUGGUGAAAAUUUUGGGGGGGUGUUAUGGAGAGAGAAUGGGUGAUGUUUCUCAGGGCUGCUUCAAGCGGGAUUAGGGGCGGCGUGGGAACCUAGAGUGGGAGAGAAUAAGCUGAAGGGAGGUCGUGUGGUAAGGGGUGAUAUUGUGGGGAUAAUUGGGAUGACUCAGGAUAUCUGAUUAGAGUGCCUAAGGAGAUUCAGCAGUCCUGCCAGCAAAGAUUAUUUAUUUACUUCAAGAGUUAAGGGUGGCAGUUUG
RNAcentral lists this long non-coding RNA (257 nucleotides) under Homo sapiens (human). Its description in RNAcentral is "non-protein coding lnc-EFNA5-5:1". Lineage: Eukaryota; Metazoa; Chordata; Mammalia; Primates; Hominidae. The record is from RNAcentral.